Molecule: transfer RNA, 73 nt
Filed under: Actinomyces graevenitzii
Lineage: Bacteria; Bacillati; Actinomycetota; Actinomycetes; Actinomycetales; Actinomycetaceae
Description: tRNA-Arg
Rfam family: tRNA
About the family: Transfer RNA (tRNA) molecules are approximately 80 nucleotides in length. Their secondary structure includes four short double-helical elements and three loops (D, anti-codon, and T loops). Further hydrogen bonds mediate the characteristic L-shaped molecular structure. tRNAs have two regions of fundamental functional importance: the anti-codon, which is responsible for specific mRNA codon recognition, and the 3' end, to which the tRNAs corresponding amino acid is attached (by aminoacyl-tRNA synthetases). tRNAs cope with the degeneracy of the genetic code in two manners: having more than one tRNA (with a specific anti-codon) for a particular amino acid; and 'wobble' base-pairing, i.e. permitting non-standard base-pairing at the 3rd anti-codon position.
Source: RNAcentral
GCUUCCGUAGCUCAACGGAUAGAGUGCCCGCUUCCGGUGCGGGAUGUUGCGGGUUCGAGUCCCGCCGGGAGCG